AGUUAAAUAAUUUAUAUAAAAUAUUAAGUUGCAAACUUAAAAAAAGAUUUAAAAAAUCUUUAACUU
This 66-nucleotide transfer RNA is filed under the name Omalonyx unguis. RNAcentral describes it as "tRNA-Cys". The record is from RNAcentral. Lineage: Eukaryota; Metazoa; Mollusca; Gastropoda; Stylommatophora; Succineidae.